UACAGAGGGUGCAAGCGUUAAUCGGAAUUACUGGGCGUAAAGCGUGCGUAGUCGGUUAUUUAAGUCGGAUGUGAAAUCCCCGGGCUUAACCUGGGAAUGGCAUUUGGGACUGCAAGGCUCGAGUGCGGCAGAGGAGACUGGAAUUCCUGGUGUAGCAGUGAAAUGCGUAGAUAUCAGGAGGAACACCGAUGGCGAAGGCAGGUCUCUGGGCUGACACUGACGCUCAUGCACGAAAGCGUGGGGGGCAAACAGG
This 253-nucleotide ribosomal RNA is filed under the name uncultured bacterium. Its description in RNAcentral is "partial 16S ribosomal RNA". It matches the Rfam family "Bacterial small subunit ribosomal RNA", at positions 524 to 776 of the family's 1533-position model. The record is from RNAcentral.